GGGGCUGAUUCUGGAUUCGACGGGAUUUGCGAAACCCAAGGUGCAUGCCGAGGGGCGGUUGGCCUCGUAAAAAGCCGCAAAAAAUAGUCGCAAACGACGAAAACUACGCUUUAGCAGCUUAAUAACCUGCUUAGAGCCCUCUCUCCCUAGCCUCCGCUCUUAGGACGGGGAUCAAGAGAGGUCAAACCCAAAAGAGAUCGCGUGGAAGCCCUGUCUGGGGUUGAAGCGUUAAAACUUAAUCAGGCUAGUUUGUUAGUGGCGUGUCCGUCCGCAGCUGGCAAGCGAAUGUAAAGACUGACUAAGCAUGUAGUACCGAGGAUGUAGGAAUUUCGGACGCGGGUUCAACUCCCGCCAGCUCCACCA
This 363-nucleotide transfer-messenger RNA is filed under the name Escherichia coli. RNAcentral describes it as "Standard tmRNA". It matches the Rfam family "transfer-messenger RNA". From Rfam's summary of the family: Bacterial tmRNA, also known as 10Sa RNA or SsrA, is named for its dual tRNA and mRNA-like properties. Its role is to liberate the mRNA from a stalled ribosome. RNAcentral also lists the same sequence under 1 other name. The record is from RNAcentral. Lineage: Bacteria; Pseudomonadati; Pseudomonadota; Gammaproteobacteria; Enterobacterales; Enterobacteriaceae.